RNAcentral lists this long non-coding RNA (265 nucleotides) under Elaeis guineensis (African oil palm). RNAcentral describes it as "long non-coding RNA (EGUI_LNC048863)". Lineage: Eukaryota; Viridiplantae; Streptophyta; Magnoliopsida; Arecales; Arecaceae. The record is from RNAcentral.
GAGUCGUCCACACGAGUCCACGAAUCACGAUCAGAAGUCUUAGUCUAGGAAAUCAGCACAGUAUGCUAGUACUGUACUGAUCCUUCUUCGAUGGUUGAUCAGAUGCCUCCUUCUUCUUGAUUUAGACUCUUCUAAAAAUGAAAAGUAGGAGAAGGAGUUUUAAAUGUGAGAUACUCUUAGAAAACUCACAGAUGGAGGAAGAAAAGAGAUGAACUCAGUAACCCUAGAAGAAGACCCUCUUCUUCUUCUCUUUGCUCUAACCCAG